RNAcentral lists this ribosomal RNA (253 nucleotides) under uncultured bacterium. Its description in RNAcentral is "partial 16S ribosomal RNA". It matches the Rfam family "Bacterial small subunit ribosomal RNA", at positions 524 to 776 of the family's 1533-position model. The record is from RNAcentral.
UACGUAGGGGGCAAGCGUUGUCCGGAAUUAUUGGGCGUAAAGAGCGCGUAGGCGGUCCGAUAAGUCGGCUGUGAAAGUCAAGGGCUCAACCCUUGAAAGCCGGCCGAUACUGUCGGACUAGAGUCCGGAAGAGGCGAGUGGAAUUCCCGGUGUAGCGGUGAAAUGCGCAGAUAUCAGGAGGAACACCAAUUGCGAAGGCAGCUCGCUGGGACGUUACUGACGCUGAGACGCGAAAGCGUGGGGAGCAAACAGG